AACGCGAAGAACCUUACCUGGCCUUGACAUCUACGGAACCUUGCAGAGAUGCAGGGGUGCCUUCGGGAACCGUAAGACAGGUGCUGCAUGGCUGUCGUCAGCUCGUGUCGUGAGAUGUUGGGUUAAGUCCCGCAACGAGCGCAACCCUCAUCUUCAGUUGCCCACGGGUCAGGCCGGGCACUCUGAAGAAACCGCCGGUGACAAGCCGGAGGAAGGCGGGGAUGACGUCAAGUCCUCAUGGCCCUUACGGACUGGGCUACACACGUACUACAAUGGUGGUGACAGUGGGCUGCGAAGUCGCAAGACGGAGCCAAUCCCCAAAAAACCAUCUCAGUUCAGAUUGCACUCUGCAACUCGAGUGCAUGAAGUUGGAAUCGCUAGUAAUCGCAGAUCAGCACGCUGCGGUGAAUACGUUCCCGGGCCUUGUACACACCGACUGUAC
Molecule: ribosomal RNA, 442 nt
Filed under: uncultured bacterium
Lineage: Bacteria
Description: bacterial SSU rRNA
Rfam family: Bacterial small subunit ribosomal RNA
Source: RNAcentral